This is a long non-coding RNA of Mya arenaria, 256 nucleotides long. RefSeq lists it as uncharacterized. The transcript is spliced from 3 exons. Lineage: Eukaryota; Metazoa; Mollusca; Bivalvia; Myida; Myidae. The record is from RefSeq and is a predicted model, not a curated record.
AGUCCACGGAACCAGAAGAGUCUCUUCUUUCCUUCGGAAGUAACUCCCCUUGUUCCGACGCGUCCAAGGAACCGGAAUUGUCCGUCCAGGCUUUCAGAAAUAACUCCCAUUUCUCCGUCGCGUCAACGGAACCGGAAGAGUCCCUUCAGGCUACCGGAAGUAGAUCCCCUUGCUCUGUCGGUAAGUCUCAUUGAUUUGAUUUUAACAACACAUUGUUGGCUUGGAUUUUAGAAUAAAAAUGAAAAAAAUGGUGAUA